GAUGAACGCUAGCGGCAGGCCUAAUACAUGCAGGUCGAGGGGUAGAGCGGUGCUUGCACUGCUUGAGACCGGCGCACGGGUGCGUAACGCGUAUGCAACCUACCCUUUUCUGGGGGAUAGCCCGGAGAAAUCCGGACUAAUACCGCAUAAGACCACGGUACGGCAUCGUAAUGGGGUCAAACAUUUAUGGGAGAAGGAUGGGCAUGCGUGCCAUUAGCUAGUUGGCGGGGUAACGGCCCACCAAGGCGACGAUGGCUAGGGGAUCUGAGAGGAUGGCCCCCCAUACUGGUACUGGGACACGGACCAGACUCCUACGGGAGGCAGCAGUAAGGAAUAUUGGUCAAUGGAGGCAACUCUGAACCAGCCAUGCCGCGUGCAGGAAGACGGCCCUCCGGGUUGUAAAGCUCUUUCGCAAGGGAAGAAAACUCGAUCUCUAAUAUAGGUUGAGGCUGACGGUGCCUUGAUAAGAAGCACCGGCUAACUACGUGCCAGCAGCCGCAGUAA
Molecule: ribosomal RNA, 504 nt
Filed under: uncultured bacterium
Lineage: Bacteria
Description: partial 16S ribosomal RNA
Rfam family: Bacterial small subunit ribosomal RNA
Source: RNAcentral